RNAcentral lists this ribosomal RNA (402 nucleotides) under uncultured bacterium. Its description in RNAcentral is "bacterial SSU rRNA". It matches the Rfam family "Bacterial small subunit ribosomal RNA", at positions 355 to 774 of the family's 1533-position model. The record is from RNAcentral.
UGGGGAAUCUUGCACAAUGGGGGAAACCCUGAUGCAGCGACGCCGCGUGAACGAUGAAGCCCUUCGGGGUGUAAAGUUCUUUCGACAGGAACGAUAAUGACGGUACCUGGAGAAGAAGCUGCGGCUAACUACGUGCCAGCAGCCGCGGUAAUACGUAGGCAGCGAGCGUUGUUCGGAGUUACUGGGCGUAAAGAGUGCGUAGGCGGCGAGCCAAGUUUGGUGUGAAAUCUCCCGGCUUAACCGGGAGGGUGCGCCGAAAACUGGUUGGCUGGAGUAUGGGAGAGGAAAGCGGAAUUCCUGGUGUAGCGGUGAAAUGCGUAGAUAUCAGGAGGAACACCGGUGGUGUAGACGGCUCACUGGACCAUUACUGACGCUGAGGCACGAAAGCGUGGGUAGCAAACA